This 1663-nucleotide long non-coding RNA is filed under the name Homo sapiens (human). RNAcentral's name for it is "PREDICTED lncRNA (TCONS_00008773)". The record is from RNAcentral. Lineage: Eukaryota; Metazoa; Chordata; Mammalia; Primates; Hominidae.
AUACAUCUAACUGUUUUUUGAACAGUCUGAACUUGGUAUGUUGGGAGCUAACAUCAAAGAACUAUUUUCCCCCAUUCACAUGAGGACUGUGUCAAAUCUGCCUCCUAUCACUUAAGGAGGUUUUGGGAAAAUCAUUCACUUUCGUUUCUAUCACUUCCAGUAACUUAACAGUACGGCUCAGAUGUAAAACUCCCCUUUUACUUGUUCCUGUCACUUCAGCCCAAGCUUGUCUCAUGAUCUAAAAAUCUGUAAUAGGGAAGAGGGUGUGGUCUGAUCUUUCCCCUUCUAUUUUACCUCAUCUAGUUCCAGAUUCUCAAAUCAUAUAGGGCCAGGAGGAGAGGACCAAAUUAUGUCUUAGUUACCUGGCUGCUGGUGGUUGUCUCUGUUUUUUGUAGAGCACAGGUGUAACGGCUUUCAGGGUGGGGGUGGGGAACUCUCCACUGAGUAGUGUGCUGAUGUGGGAGAUCUCUGGCUUGGCCUCUUCCGGCCCUCCUCCCACUCAGCUCCCACCAAUGAUGUAUCAAUAAAACCUCUUGCUGCUGGAGAUCUGCUUACCUGGUGGCCAGGGUGGCAAGACAAGUGAAGCCUGACUAUGCCUGCAGCAUCCACUGUGGAAACUACUACAUCUUUGCCAUGCCAAACACUUCUGCUUAAGCAUGCAGGUGAGAAGGGAAGAUACAUGUAAUCUGCAUGUCUGCCACCAUUCCUUGUUACCCUUUUUCAUAUCCCAUGAGCACAGCACUCCAGCGGACCUACCCAAAAUAUGUGGGAGUUCAGUGAAACUCAAACAGCAUGCUUCUGGUCAGCCUAUACAGUCUCUGUCCUGGUGAGGAGCAUGAUCACCAACAGGCAAGAUCUUCUGGCCUUGAAGUUUCGCUUGAGUUAAAAGAGCUCAUCUCAGGACUUUCUGAAUUUUCAGCCCAUAUGACAUGGAAGAAGAGUUAGAAGGGGAAUCUGACUGCUUGGAUCAGGGACUGUCUGGCUGGUGGAACUUGAAUAGAUGUACAGUGCGCCACUCUGAGGAUCAAGUCUGACCCUGCCUUUAAAUUUGGAUUCAAAGUACUUAGAUUUUCUGGAAUCCCAUUCUACAAUCUUCUGGUCGAAAGUAUAAAACCAGUCUCUCAUUGCACCUUACGAGAAACACCCACAGGUGUGGAGGGGCAACCCACCCCUUCAUCUGGUGCCCAACGUGGAGGCUUUUCUCUGGGGUGAAGGUACACUCGAGCGUGGUCAUUGAGGACAAGUCGACAAGAGAUCCCGAGUACAUCUACAGUCAGCCUUACGGUAAGCUUGUGCACUCGGAAGAAGCUAGGGUGACAAUGGGGCAAACUAAAACUAAAAGUAAAUAUGCCUCUUAUCUUAGCUUCAUUAAAAUUCUUUUAAAAAGAGGGGGAGUUAGAGUAUCCACCAAAAAUCUAAUCAAGCUAUUUCAAACAACAGAACAAUUUUGCCCAUGGUUUCCAGAACAAGGAAAUUUAGAUCUAGAAGAUUGGAAAAGAAUUGGUAAGGAACUAAAACAAGCAGGUAGGAAGGGUAAUAUCAUUCCACUUACAGUAUGGAAUGAUUGGCCCAUUAUUAAAGCAGCUUUAGAACCAUUUCAAACAGAAGAUAGCGUUUCAGUUUCUGAUGCCCCUGGAAGCUGUAUAAUAGAUUGUAAUGAAAA